UACAGAGGGUGCAAGCGUUGCUCGGAAUCAUUGGGCGUAAAGGGCAGGUAGGCGGUCUCGUUUGUCUGGGGUGAAAGCCCAGGGCUUAACCCUGGAAGUGCCCUAGAAACGGCGAGACUAGAGUCUUGGAGAGGGUCGUGGAAUUCCCGGUGUAGCGGUGAAAUGCGUAGAGAUCGGGAGGAACACCAGAGGCGAAGGCGGCGACCUGGACAAGUACUGGCACUCAACUGCGAAAGCGUGGGGAGCAAACAGG
Molecule: ribosomal RNA, 253 nt
Filed under: uncultured bacterium
Lineage: Bacteria
Description: partial 16S ribosomal RNA
Rfam family: Bacterial small subunit ribosomal RNA
Source: RNAcentral